Molecule: transfer RNA, 49 nt
Filed under: Morus rubra (red mulberry)
Lineage: Eukaryota; Viridiplantae; Streptophyta; Magnoliopsida; Rosales; Moraceae
Description: partial tRNA-Leu
Source: RNAcentral
GUCGACUUUAAAAAUCGUGAGGGUUCAAGUCCCUCUAUCCCCAAAAAGG